This 253-nucleotide ribosomal RNA is filed under the name uncultured bacterium. RNAcentral describes it as "partial 16S ribosomal RNA". It matches the Rfam family "Bacterial small subunit ribosomal RNA", at positions 524 to 776 of the family's 1533-position model. The record is from RNAcentral.
UACGAAGGGGGCUAGCGUUGUUCGGAAUUACUGGGCGUAAAGCGUGCGCAGGCGGCUGCUCAAGUCAGGGGUGAAAGCCCAGAGCUCAACUCUGGAAUUGCCUUUGAGACUGAGUGGCUUGAGUACGGGAGAGGUGAGUGGAAUUCCCAGUGUAGAGGUGAAAUUCGUAGAUAUUGGGAAGAACACCGGUGGCGAAGGCGACUGACUGGACAAGUAUUGACGCUGAGGUACGAAAGCGUGGGGAGCAAACAGG